UGGAUGAAAAGGUUAUGCGUAGGCCAGGCUACGACUUAAAACUGCUGGGAGACACGAGGGAUUCCAUGAAAAUAAAUCAAUGGAAAGACUCAGUCAGGGAUAAGGGAAAAGUCUGUAGGGGAAACGGGUAGAUUAAAACAAAACUGAAAUACUCGAUCCAAACAGGGGACAACAAUUUCAAUGAGGAAAUACACAAUCAAACUCAACUGGGGAAGAAAAGAA
This 222-nucleotide long non-coding RNA is filed under the name Lathyrus oleraceus (garden pea). Its description in RNAcentral is "Pisum sativum (pea) long non-coding RNA (PSAT_LNC000952)". The record is from RNAcentral. Lineage: Eukaryota; Viridiplantae; Streptophyta; Magnoliopsida; Fabales; Fabaceae.